UGGUUGAUCCUGCCAGUAGUCAUAUGCUUGUCUCAAAGAUUAAGCCAUGCAUGUCUAAGUAUAAGCAAUCUAUACGGUGAAACUGCGAAUGGCUCAUUAAAUCAGUUAUCGUUUAUUUGAUAGUACCUUACUACAUGGAUACCUGUGGUAAUUCUAGAGCUAAUACAUGCUGAAAACCUCGACUUCGGAAGGGGUGUAUUUAUUAGAUAAAAAACCAAUGCCCUUCGGGGCUCCUUGGUGAUUCAUAAUAACUAAACGAAUCGCAUGGCCUUGCGCCGGCGAUGGUUCAUUCAAAUUUCUGCCCUAUCAACUUUCGAUGGUAGGAUAGUGGCCUACCAUGGUGGCAACGGGUAACGGGGAAUUAGGGUUCGAUUCCGGAGAGGGAGCCUGAGAAACGGCUACCACAUCCAAGGAAGGCAGCAGGCGCGCAAAUUACCCAAUCCCGAUCCGGGGAGGUAGUGACAAUAAAUACUGAUACAGGGCUCUUUUGGGUCUUGUAAUUGGAAUGAGUACAAUCUAAAUCCCUUAACGAGGAACAAUUGGAGGGCAAGUCUGGU
This 557-nucleotide ribosomal RNA is filed under the name uncultured eukaryote. RNAcentral's name for it is "SSU rRNA". It matches the Rfam family "Eukaryotic small subunit ribosomal RNA", at positions 5 to 565 of the family's 1831-position model. The record is from RNAcentral.